ACGUAGGGGGCAAGCGUUGUCCGGAUUCAUUGGGCGUAAAGAGCUCGUAGGCGGUUCAGUAAGUCGGGUGUGAAAGCUCCGAGCUCAACUCGGAGAGGCCACCCGAUACUGCUGUGACUUGAGUCCAGUAGAGGAGCGUGGAACUCCUGGUGUAGCGGUGGAAUGCGCAGAUAUCAGGAAGAACACCUGCAGCGAAGGCGGCGCUCUGGGCUGGAACUGACGCUGAGGAGCGAAAGCGUGGGUAGCAAACAG
RNAcentral lists this ribosomal RNA (252 nucleotides) under uncultured prokaryote. RNAcentral's name for it is "partial 16S rRNA". It matches the Rfam family "Bacterial small subunit ribosomal RNA", at positions 525 to 775 of the family's 1533-position model. The record is from RNAcentral.